Molecule: long non-coding RNA, 3043 nt
Filed under: Sus scrofa (pig)
Lineage: Eukaryota; Metazoa; Chordata; Mammalia; Artiodactyla; Suidae
Description: lncRNA (ENSSSCG00050000218.1)
Source: RNAcentral
CCUAAACUGGUUUGGGUGGGUUUGCUGUCACUCGCAAUUGAAAAUAAAACAUUUCUGUCUCAUCGGGUGUCUUCUCUUUGCCUGGCUGUAACCGCUGCCACCCUAACCACUGCUGGCCUGGGAGGAAGAAAACUGGGGGUGACAUCAAGGAAGGGGAUAAACGAGGCUGCAAACCAGCCCCUGGAAUGCAGUCCGGGGACACCAGCAACCACGGCCCAGCCAACGCCUCACUCGCACGGUGACAGGAAGAGAUCAUCAGAGCCAUAACCAUGACAGUUUGGUUUUCUCCAAAGGUGUCAACUUUCCUCAAGUUUCCCAAAGCCCUGGGCAUGAUGCCAGUAGAUCAUUUUUGAUUUCUUUUGCAAGCUCCCAAUUUCAUCCCCGCAGGUGUCUAAGAAAAAGCAUUAUUAAAAUGCUCGCAGUAAAGAGGAGCCCAGGAUAAAGGAUCCCAGCUCUAAAUUUUUCCUCCACAUAAAGGAAGUCAUUUUAAGUCUAAUCAGUUAUGAAUUUAGAAAGUCACAGAUUCUAAUACCAAAAACCUGUGUGUGUGAGAGCACGUUUGAACAUAUGCCUGCACACGUGUCCAUGUGUGUGGUGCAUCUGAAUAGAAAAAAAAAGAGAGACCUUAUUAUUAUCACAAUUUUUCAAUUAAAAAUUUAAAAAUCUUUUAAUUUAAAAAUUUUUUGAAAAAAUGAGACCUUGAACAGCCAGAGUUAUGCUUCAUCUCUUCUCAGACUCGAGGGCACCAGUUAUCACUUUGCUUUCUCCCCUUUUUCAUCAGGAGCUGCUAAGACACAUAAGCCCCUUCCACUGAGAAGAAGGGUGUGUCACUGCGCUUUUGGAGGAACAGAUGAAAAGAAUCUGCUUUUCUUGUCCUCUUUUUUUAAGGAAGGAUCGGCUGACCGACUAGCUCCACCUCUGCUCUACCCCCGGACACACACACACACACACACACACACACACACACACACUCUCUCUCUCUCUCUCUCUCACACACUUGGGCUGGAAACAACACACUUCACCCAAAGACUAGGGAGAGGUAUUACAAAAAGACGGGUGAGCCGGGCCAGCGAUACUCUGUCAGUCACCUCUCUUCUAACCAGACCGGGAGCACAUGCAGCAUUCAUGGUUCAGAACGUGUUUUCUGGACUUCCUGUCAUGGCACAGCAGAACCGAAUCGGACUAGGAACCAUGACGUGGCAGGUUCGAUCCCUGGCCUCGACAGCGGGUUAAGGAUCCAGCAUUGCCGUGAGCUGUGGUGUAGGUCACAGACGUGGCUCAGAUCUGGCGAUGCUGUGGCUGUGGUGUAGGUCUGUGGCUACAGCUCCAAUUGACCCCUAGCCUGGGAACGUCCAUGUGCCACGGAGAAUGUAGGCAAAGCCCUACGCAUGUCCCUCGGGCGUAUGAUAAACACUCCAUUUCCCUGCUACUGAGAAGACAAGCCAGUAAGGGACACCGACGUGCACUGACAGGUGGAAUCGACCGCCGAGAUUUCUCAGGCCGGCGCAAGGCAUUCCACGCCAUACGGCUGUGGUCACUCCAGGGCAAAACCUUUGCCUGGUGCUUUGGCUCCGCGGGGGGCAUCCGGGCAGCGGCGGCACUGGGCUUGGAAGGAGCCGAACGCACACCUCAACGCUCUGUCCAGAUGGAGUUAACAGGAGCCUUGGAGAGGGGGGUGGAGAGAACAGAGAUGUGUUCAUCUGUGAAAUUAAAAGUGGUGCAGCAUGACACACGGCAUUACGUGGUGGGGCUCGGCGAAAGCCAUAAUUAGGCUGAAUAUGACUCUGAACACGCUCAUAAUCAAACAAAAGCAAUUCUACUGAAUGAGGAGAGCGGAGUCUCUUGGGAGGAGAGAAGAGGCAAAAGGCUGAGAAAGACUAGGAACCCGGCUCAGUACACGGAGGGCGGGCGGAGACCCACCCCAAGGAAGGCCCCGGGGCCCUGUAUUCCUUUGGUACCAUUCUAAAAACUACCAUCUGCUCAGAACAACUCAUCCGUUACCAUCUCACAGGGGCCACAGGUCCCAAGUCCAGGCACGUGGCUUGGGUGUGCUCUCUGCUUGGGGUCUCGCAGGGCCAAAGUGUCACCUGGCUCAGACAUCAGCCUUCUUGGUUCUUACCUGGGGACUUCGGGGAAGAAUCUGCCCCCACGCCUGCUCAGGUUAUUGGCAGAACCAAGGGGGGUCCCUAUGUCCUUCCAGAUGUCGGCCAGACCUUGUUCUCAGCUUCUAGAAACUGUUCAUAUUUCGUGCCACACGUUCCCCCAUCUUCAGAGUCAGCAAGAGAGCGUCAAAUCCUUCUCAAGCCAGUCAUCCCCCUGCCUGCCCUUCUGCCGUCUCUGAUUCCCUCCUCCACCUCCUCUUCCGCUCUGAAGGGCCCCUGUGAUAAUAUCAGCCCGGCCGCAAAAAAUCCAGACCCAUCUCCCAAUUUUAAUGACUUCAGUCACAUAUGCAAAGGCCCUUUGUCAUGCAGCUAACCUAAGGUGGGAGUAAAAUAAAGGGGGGGGGGGGAAGGUCACGGGGCCAAAGGUCAAAGGUCUAAAAGUGGCUCCACUGACAAAUGGGUGCUGGACCCUAUCCCGGAGCUGGAGUGCACGUUUUCUGCUGCUGGGAAGGACGAUGCAUUGGAGAGGUCAUAAGGGAGCCACACCACGGUGGAAACUUCUAAAGGGAGACAGACAGACUCACGAGUUUCCUGCAGAGUAACAGUGAGGACAGCUGAGCUACCGCUGCCACCCUGUGUGGACAGACCUGCUGCUGGCCAGGUACGGGGCAGAACCCUGCAUUUCUUUUUUUUUUUUUUUUUUUCCUUUUUAUGGCCAUACCUGUGGCAUAUGGAAGUUCCCAGGCUAGGGGUUGAAUCAGAGAUAGAGCUGUUGGCCUACGCCACAGCCACCGCAAUGCCAAAUCUGAGCCGAGUCUGCAACCUACACCGCAGCUCACAGCAAAGCAGAUCCUUAACCCACUGAGCGAAGCCAGGGAUGGAACCCGCAUCCUCAUGGAUACUCGUUGGGUUCAUCACCGCCGUGCCACAAUGGGAACUCC